Molecule: ribosomal RNA, 484 nt
Filed under: uncultured bacterium
Lineage: Bacteria
Description: partial 16S ribosomal RNA
Rfam family: Bacterial small subunit ribosomal RNA
Source: RNAcentral
AUUGAACGCUGGCGGCAGGCCUAACACAUGCAAGUCGAGCGGAUGAAGGGAGCUCUCUCCUGGAUUCAGCGGGCGACGGGCGAGUAAUGCCUAGGAAUAUGACUGGCAGUGGGGGCUAACGUCAGGAAACGGGCGCUAAUAUCGCAUACGAUCAUAGGGUGAAAGUGGGGGAUCUUUGGUCCUAACGCUUUCUGAUGAGCCUAGGUCGGAUUAGCUAGUUGGUGGGGUAAAGGCUUACCAAGGCGACGAUCCGUAACUGGUCUGAGAGGAUGAUCAGUCACACUGGAACUGAGACACGGUCCAGACUCCUACGGGAGGCAGCAGUGGGGAAUAUUGGACAAUGGGCGAAAGCCUGAUCCAGCCAUGCCGCGUGUGUGAAGAAGGUCUUCGGAUUGUAAAGCACUUUAAGUUGGGAGGAAGGGAAGUAAGUGAAUACCUUACUGUUUUGACGGUACCAAAAAAGUAAGCACCGGCUAACUACGUG